GCGUAAAGCGCGCGCAGGCGGUUUCUUAAGUCUGAUGUGAAAGCCCCCGCGCUCAACCGAGGGAGGGUCAUUGGAAACGGGUGAACUUGAGUGCAGAAGAGGAGAGUGGAAUUCCACGUGUAGCGGUGAAAUGCGUAGAGAUGUGGAGGAACACCAGUGGCGAAGGCGACUCUCUGGUCUGUAACUGACGCUGAGGCGCGAAAGCGUGGGGAGCGAACAGGAUUAGAUACCCUGGUAGUCCACGCCGUAAACGAUGAGUGCUAAGUGUUAGAGGGUUUCCGCCCUUUAGUGCUGCAGCAAACGCAUUAAGCACUCCGCCUGGGGAGUACGGUCGCAAGACUGAAACUCAAAGGAAUUGACGGGGGCCCGCACAAGCGGUGGAGCAUGUGGUUUAAUUCGAAGCAACGCGAAGAACCUUACCAGGUCUUGACAUCCUCUGACAACCCUAGAGAUAGGGCUUCCCCUUCGGGGGCAGAGUGACAGGUGGUGCAUGGUUGUCGUCAGCUCGUGUCGUGAGAUGUUGGGUUAAGUCCCGCAACGAGCGCAACCCUUGAUCUUAGUUGCCAGCAUUCAGUUGGGCACUCUAAGGUGACUGCCGGUGACAAACCGGAGGAAGGUGGGGAUGACGUCAAAUCAUCAUGCCCCUUAUGACCUGGGCUACACACGUGCUACAAUGGGCAGAACAAAGGGCAGCGAAGCCGCGAGGCUAAGCCAAUCCCACAAAUCUGUUCUCAGUUCGGAUCGCAGUCUGCAACUCGACUGCGUGAAGCUGGAAUCGCUAGUAAUCGCGGAUCAGCAUGCCCGGUGAAAUACGUUCCCGGGGCCUUGUACACACCGCCCGUCACACCACGAGAGUUUGUAACACCCGAAGUCGGUGAGGUAACCUUUUGGAGCCAGCCGCCGAAGGUGGGACAGAUGAUUGGG
RNAcentral lists this ribosomal RNA (924 nucleotides) under Bacillus sp. HSB2. RNAcentral's name for it is "bacterial SSU rRNA". It matches the Rfam family "Bacterial small subunit ribosomal RNA", at positions 558 to 1479 of the family's 1533-position model. The record is from RNAcentral. Lineage: Bacteria; Bacillati; Bacillota; Bacilli; Caryophanales; Bacillaceae.